AAAGUGAAUGGCGAUGGAGUUCGCCUAACGCUGUUCAAGCUGAUGACUCCUACCCCUUG
This 59-nucleotide non-coding RNA is filed under the name Desulforamulus hydrothermalis. Its description in RNAcentral is "Desulfotomaculum hydrothermale Fluoride sequence". It matches the Rfam family "Fluoride riboswitch aptamer (crcB RNA motif)". Lineage: Bacteria; Bacillati; Bacillota; Clostridia; Eubacteriales; Peptococcaceae. The record is from RNAcentral. RNAcentral also lists the same sequence under 1 other name.